GAGAAGCAUGAUGGUGGAAAAGCAGUCAGAGCUGUUAGCUUUGAAGAUGGAGGACGAGAUUUGUGAACCCGGGAGUGAGGACUGUCUCUAGAAGCUGCAAAAACAUCAUCACUGAAGCCCUCUGCAUCCUCCCCAUGGAAUUCAUAAUUUUCUCAUAACUCAACUUUGACUCCCGUCACAUUGUAUCAUCGGGAACACAUUUGAUGAGAUCAAAUGGAGUGCACACAUUCAUGGGCCCCAAUAAACAGAGUUGAUUGCUCUUCGUGUCCAUGGGAGAAGAGUUCAGACUCUGUGGCUCCUAAAGUAAAGUUCUACUUCCACCAGCAAAGCAAGUUCCAGACAAAACAUUAAGAAACCUGCCCAAACCAUGGCUCAUGCUGUUCUUCCUGGGAUUUCUUGACUUGUGAAUGCUCCAGCCAGACCCAGAAGCGGAGAUGAAGAAACCAAAGUAUAGUCAAGUGAGUGUUGCAGCAAACACCUGGACUUGUGAAGAUGGGAUCUGAGAGGCUCUAGAUCAAUCCCUUCCAUAUAAACGCAGGGUAACGCUGGAAACAGACCGAUUGUACUUGGCACCAGCUGAGCAAAAAGUGGUUUCCUAGCAUCUCACAAAAGAAAUUAUGCACACAAGCAACUGCCCAAGUGAGUGCCUAACUGUAAGUUACAUAAGCACAAGGAGGGUUUUUAAUACAAAACUGUAGUUCUCAAACUGAAGUAUCAGACUCACCUGGAGAGCUACUAAAGAACAGAGGUCCAAACUCAAGGGGCUUGGACCUCUAUGUUUACAUACUAAGUCCCCCAAGUAACUCCCACACCAAAUGAAGUUUGAGAGCUACUAAUAUAAAAUAUUAUCCUUUAAUCAAAACAGGUAUGAGGCAAAAUCAUCUAUUAAAUUAUUACUCAAAUUGUUUUGAUUAACUUGGAUUUUGUGGAAGCUAGGAUUUUAUGAAGGGAGAAAAGAAACACCAUAUGCAAUAAAUCGACUGGAACUGGGAAGCACACUGAAUAAAUUACUUUUAUAAAUAGUCAUAUCAUAAAUGAGGGAGAACAUUUACAUGAAAAGAUUCAACCUUAAAAAGCUGGUUGGCACCCAAUCACAUGGACCACAACGAUCCAGAUUCUUCACUUCGCUACUUAAGGCAGAGGACCCUGCAUGAUGCAGUACUCACCUGCAAGAGGCGCCCGGAUAAGAUGGAUGUUUUGCUUCACUUCUUUAAUGUCCUGAACUUUCUGUAGUUCUUUAUUUCUCUUCAGCCUAGGAUCAAACACAUUAAGGCCAAAAUUUCAGUUACUAAAACCUCUUUAAAAGACAUUAAUUCCUAAUUUUUAAAAAUUGUAUUACGUUAGCCACACAAAUGAGCAAUGGGAACACAAUUCAUUUCUUGUUCCUAAUUAGCUUAAACAUGAUUCCUGCACUCCCAAUGUGUUCAUUCACUGUAUUCCUAGCACCCAGUCGGGAAUAAAACAGGGAUGAAAAGAUAUUUGCUCAGUGCAUGAAGGGAUGUGAUUGAAACAAAGAAUUAACAAGUCUCAGAGAUUACACAGAGUAAGAAUCUCUAAUUAUUAAAGUGUCUGUGUUCUCUAUUUGAGGAGAAAGAUUUGUAGUCUCUGUGUUAGCUAAUUUUUUAAAUCAUUCAGUAAUUACAAGAGCACAAAACACAAGACAUUCAACAGAAAAAGCUAACAGACUAGUUCUCAAGCAUUUGGGUCCUUUUUUGUAAUGCUUUAAAAAAAAAUUUUGUUUAAGCCAGAAAGCUGUUGACGCAUGCUUUUCUACGACUUUUAUGGUGACUAGAUCAAAAGCGAUGCCCCUUCUAAAGAAACAGUCAAUUCCAAGCUGGGGCAGGGAAAAUCUCAUUAGCCAUAAAGCAAGAAAGGACUCAAAGAAUGGUGAGGAACUGUCACAAUGACACACAGCCUGCCUCAAGGAAUUCUCACUGGCCAACUUGGGGUACUUAGAACAUCAAAAUAAUGACAAAGAAUUAUAACUCAUUGAAUACAAUAAGAAUUAAUGAAUACACACAGAUAUGAUGUGAAUAAAUGAAUAAAAAUAAAUUUUGGAACUGGGGAAAAAGGAAAAUGCUCUUUCUUAGAUAAGAAGGUCAACUAAUAAACGGAGAAGAAAUGAUGAAAUCAGAAAAAUCACCAUUUGGCAACAAUCACAGUAGUAAAAGAUUCAGGCAGAACUCUAAUGGAUGCGAAAACCAGUAGGUAUCAGUUUGAGGAGUAACAGGCUCUUUGCUGAGUCUCAAUGUGUCUCACGAGAUGUACUGAUUAAAAAGGGGGAAAAACAGUAACUUUCCAGUGGAGAAAACUGGCAGACACUACUUUAACCAAGCAAUGAAAGUUAACAUCACCAGUAAGGGACAACAGGUACCUCUGCUGGGGUGCUUAAAGGGGACACACUUCUAUGAUGUUCUGGCCAAAGGGACCUGAAUCGCAUCACGAAGAAAACAUCAAACAAAAACCGGGGAACAUUCUAUGAAAUAACUGACCUGUACUCUUCAAACGUGCCAAUGUCAUCUGAGACAAAGGUGAGAAACUGUCUGGAUUAAAGGAGCUUGAGGAGAUAUGACCACUAAAUGCAAUGCAUGAUCCAGGAUUUUCUGCUGCUAUGAAGGACAUUUAUUGGAACAACAGGUAAACCUAGUAAGGUCUAUAGUAUUUUAUCAGUGUUAAUUUUCUGAUUUAACUAUACUGUGGUUAUUAAGAGCAUGUUCUUAUGCUGUACACCUGAAACUAAUGUUGUGUGUCAAUUAUACCUCAAUUUUAAAAACCCAGAGAAAAAGAACAUACUAUUUUUAGGAUAUAUAUAUAUUAAAGCAUACUUAGGAGGAAAAGGCAUCAUGUCUUCAACUUAUUACGCACAGAGUUAAAGUAAAUUUGGCAAAAUGUUAACAGAAUA
Molecule: long non-coding RNA, 2902 nt
Organism: Balaenoptera ricei (Rice's whale)
Lineage: Eukaryota; Metazoa; Chordata; Mammalia; Artiodactyla; Balaenopteridae
Exons: 7
Source: RefSeq, a predicted model, not a curated record